UUUGAGAAGAGUAGGAUGCAAACGAUGAUCCCUGUUGUGUGUACUGCCAGCACUGUUCACAGACAGGAUGUAACCUUAUGUAAGAUGGAAGCCUGUGAAGAAAGAUACAGAUAGCGGUUGGAGUUAAAAGUAGCAGAUGAAUAUUUCUCUUCUUAAGU
Molecule: long non-coding RNA, 158 nt
Filed under: Dromaius novaehollandiae (emu)
Lineage: Eukaryota; Metazoa; Chordata; Aves; Casuariiformes; Dromaiidae
Description: lncRNA (ENSDNVG00000000358.1)
Source: RNAcentral